UACGUAGGGGGCUAGCGUUGUCCGGAAUCAUUGGGCGUAAAGAGCGUGUAGGCGGCCCGGUAAGUCCGCCGUAAAAGUCAAAGGCUCAACCUUUGAAUGUCAGUGGAUACUGCCGGGCUAGAGUCCGGAAGAGGCGAGUGGAAUUCCUGGUGUAGCGGUGAAAUGCGCAGAUAUCAGGAGGAACACCUACGGCGAAGGCAGCUCGCUGGGACGGUACUGACGCUGAGACGCGAAAGCGUGGGGAGCAAACAGG
Molecule: ribosomal RNA, 253 nt
Filed under: uncultured bacterium
Lineage: Bacteria
Description: partial 16S ribosomal RNA
Rfam family: Bacterial small subunit ribosomal RNA
Source: RNAcentral